RNAcentral lists this ribosomal RNA (279 nucleotides) under uncultured bacterium. Its description in RNAcentral is "partial 16S ribosomal RNA". It matches the Rfam family "Bacterial small subunit ribosomal RNA", at positions 506 to 784 of the family's 1533-position model. The record is from RNAcentral.
UGCCAGCCGCCGCGGUAAUACGGAGGAUCCAGGCGUUAUCCGGAUUUAUUAGGUUUAAAGGGUACGUAGGCGGAAGAAUAAGUCAGUGGUGAAAUCCUGCAGCUCAACUGUAGAACUGCCAUUGAUACUGUUUUUCUUGAGUAUAGUUGAGGUGGGCGGAAUGUGUCAUGUAGCGGUGAAAUGCUUAGAUAUGACACAGAACACCGAUUGCGUAGGCAGCUCACUAAACUAUCACUGACGCUGAGGUACGAAAGCGUGGGGAGCGAACAGGAUUAGAUA